Molecule: ribosomal RNA, 292 nt
Filed under: uncultured bacterium
Lineage: Bacteria
Description: partial 16S ribosomal RNA
Rfam family: Bacterial small subunit ribosomal RNA
Source: RNAcentral
GUGUCAGCAGCCGCGGUAAUACGAACUGUGCAAACGUUAUUCGGAAUCACUGGGCUUAAAGGGUGCGUAGGCGGCCAUUUAAGUAGGGUGUGAAAGCCCCCGGCUCAACCGGGGAAUUGCGUCCUAAACUGGAUGGCUGGAGUGAGAUAGAGGUGUGUGGAACUUCCGGUGGAGCGGUGAAAUGUGUUGAUAUCGGAAGGAACGCCGGUGGCGAAAGCGACACACUGGGUCUCAACUGACGCUGAGGCACGAAAGCCAGGGGAGCGAACGGGAUUAGAAACCCGUGUAGUCC